GCCCCGUUAGCUCAGAUGGUAGAGCGCCUCUCUCGUAAAGAAGAGGUCGCCGGAUCGAUUCCGGCAGGGGGGG
Molecule: transfer RNA, 73 nt
Filed under: Paenarthrobacter sp. YJN-5
Lineage: Bacteria; Bacillati; Actinomycetota; Actinomycetes; Micrococcales; Micrococcaceae
Rfam family: tRNA
About the family: Transfer RNA (tRNA) molecules are approximately 80 nucleotides in length. Their secondary structure includes four short double-helical elements and three loops (D, anti-codon, and T loops).
Source: Rfam by way of RNAcentral